GCGAAGGCGAUCUUCUGGAACAGUACUGACGCUGAGGCGCGAAAGCGUGGGGAGCAAACAGGAUUAGAUACCCUGGUAGUCCACGCCCUAAACGAUGAAUGUUAGUCGUCGGAUUGCAAGUCAAUUCGGUGAUGCAGUUAACACAUUAAACAUUCCGCCUGGGGAGUACGGUCGCAAGAUUAAAACUCAAAGGAAUAGACGGGGACCCGCACAAGUGGUGGAGCAUGUGGUUUAAUUCGAAGAUACGCGAAGAACCUUACCUAGCCUUGACAUUGAUAGAAUCUUUCAGAGAUGAGAGAGUGCCCUUCGGGGAGCUUGAAAACAGGUGCUGCACGGCUGUCGUCAGCUCGUGUCGUGAGAUGUUGGGUUAAGUCCCGCAACGAGCGCAACCCUCGUCACUAGUUACUAACGGUUCGGCCGAGGACUCUAGUGAGACUGCCUUCGUAAGGAGGAGGAAGGUGAGGACGACGUCAAGUCAUCAUGGCCCUUACGGCUAGGGCCACACACGUGCUACAAUGGUUAGGACAAUGAGAAGCGAUACCGCGAGGUGGAGCAAAUCUAUAAACCUAAUCUCAGUUCGGAUUGUUCUCUGCAACUCGAGAGCAUGAAGCUGGAAUCACUAGUAAUCGUAAAUCAGCAAUGUUACGGUGAAUACGUUCCCGGGUCUUGUACUCACCGCCCGUCACACCAUGGGAGUUGAUUUCACCCGAAGCGGGGAAGCUAAACUGACUACCCUCCACGGUGGAAUUAGCGGCUGGGGUGAAGUCGUAACAAGGUA
Molecule: ribosomal RNA, 778 nt
Filed under: uncultured bacterium
Lineage: Bacteria
Description: bacterial SSU rRNA
Rfam family: Bacterial small subunit ribosomal RNA
Source: RNAcentral